AACGAACGCUGGCGGCAUGCCUAACACAUGCAAGUCGAACGAGACCUUCGGGUCUAGUGGCGCCCGGGUGCGUAACGCGUGGGAACCUGCCCUUAGGUUCGGCAUAACUCCCCGAAAGGGGUGCUAAUACCGGAUAAUGUCUUCGGACCAAAGAUUUAUCGCCUUUGGAUGGGCCCGCGUUGGAUUAGCUAGUUGGUAGGGUAAAAGCCUACCAAGGCGACGAUCCAUAGCUGGUCUGAGAGGAUGAUCAGCCACACUGGGAGUGAGACACGGCCCAGACUCCUACGGGAGGCAGCAGUGGGGAAUAUUGGAAAAUGGGCGAAAGCCUGAUCCAGCAAUGCCGGGUGAGUGAUGAAGGCCUGAGAGUUGUAAAGCUCUUUUACCCGGGAUGAUAAUGACAGUACCGGGAGAAUAAGCUCCGGCUAACUCCGUG
Molecule: ribosomal RNA, 433 nt
Filed under: uncultured bacterium
Lineage: Bacteria
Description: partial 16S ribosomal RNA
Rfam family: Bacterial small subunit ribosomal RNA
Source: RNAcentral